This 255-nucleotide long non-coding RNA is filed under the name Mytilus galloprovincialis (Mediterranean mussel). Lineage: Eukaryota; Metazoa; Mollusca; Bivalvia; Mytilida; Mytilidae. The record is from RNAcentral.
CAAUAAUUCUUAGAUAACGAAAAAGUAUGUUUGUAACAAGAAUAGCUUGUCUUCUUAUUUCUUUUGUAUACACAGUGGAUAGUGCAGCUAUAAACACAACAAAAUUUGAUUUAAAGUCAUCUAAAGGGAUCAUUUCAACAAAAUUAAUCAAAAGGGAUGUGAUCGUCAAAUCUUUGAUGGAGUGCGCUUCUCAAUGCAGCAGUUAUGAUUUUUGUAAAACAGCAAGUUUCGAUUCUGAGACGACGUCGUGCAACC